RNAcentral lists this transfer RNA (75 nucleotides) under Marmota marmota marmota (Alpine marmot). It matches the Rfam family "tRNA". Rfam says of the family: Transfer RNA (tRNA) molecules are approximately 80 nucleotides in length. Their secondary structure includes four short double-helical elements and three loops (D, anti-codon, and T loops). Lineage: Eukaryota; Metazoa; Chordata; Mammalia; Rodentia; Sciuridae. The record is from Rfam by way of RNAcentral. RNAcentral also lists the same sequence under 1 other name.
GGAGUUGUGGCUCAGUGGUAGAGCCACAAUUGCCUACUAUGUGUGAGGCACUGAGUUCGAUUCUCAGCACCUCAU